Non-coding RNA from Drosophila suzukii, 1597 nucleotides. The record is from RefSeq and is a predicted model, not a curated record. NCBI's taxonomy places the organism in Eukaryota, Metazoa, Arthropoda, Insecta, Diptera, Drosophilidae.
GACUUUGAAAACUUCGGUCACACUACAAAGAAUACGAUUUUUCGACUUGUGAAACUCUUAGCCGAUCUGAGUACUAGGCCUAACCAAAAAAAACACAAAUGGGAAAAUGUCAAAUUUAAAAGGCACAAAAUGUUGAACACCAAGGACGCUUUAUAUUGCAGUUGGCAUGGCGAUGUACAUUGCCGCAAAAGAGCAAAAGGAGGCCGAAAAAAUGAAACAAAGGCGGAAAUAUUGGGUAGGUUCCUAUUUCAAGGAACGGUGUCUUAAAGGCCGCUAGAUAAGACUUUUAGGUCUUGGUCAACACGCCAUCAAUGUUCUUUGAAAACUUGUUAUGCCGGAGAGCGGUUUCAACGCGCUCUUUGGAUUGGUAGAGCAGUAUCUUAUCCCGAAACGGACACUCGGCCAGAUGCCAUACCGCUCAAUAAUUAAAAUAUAUAUACACAUAUGUCAAUUCUCAAAUACCAUAAUAGUAUUUAAAUAAUGUGAUUUAAUAUUCCUUGUUAGAUUUAUUGCUGCUAGUAGCGGAAUCCUUUUUUACAACUGUUAGGUAUGUACUUUUAAAUUUCGAAGAUAAUUAAAUAAGUAAACCUGUUGUAAUGUAGGGACUUAAUUCGAUUUGUCCCACAAUACGCUUGGAAAACGGAUUACAAUGUCAUAAUCGAAAUCUCUUCUACAUAUAUUAUCGGCGAUGAUGCAAUUCUCGAUCAUAAUCAGAGCAGUAUCUUAUCCCUUAUGUACUUUUAAAUUUCGAAGAUAAUUAAAUAAGUAAACCUGUUGUAAUGUAGGGACUUAAUUCGAUUUGUCCCACAAUACGCUUGGAAAACGGAUUACAAUGUCAUAAUCGAAAUCUCUUCUACAUAUAUUAUCGGCGAUGAUGCAAUUCUCGAUCAUAAUCGUGCUAUAAAGCAAGGACUUGCAUCGGAAUGAGCGCAUCUUUAAGGGAACGUUCUCUUUGUUUUGGAUCAAAAAAAGCCACAUAUCCGUAGAGUAUGUGUGUGAAAGGAUUUUUCGAUACGAUGAAUAGUUUGUGAAUGAGAGCGUCUCGAAUACACCUGCGUCACGCGCGCUGCGUACUUUUAAAAAACUUUAAACGCGUUUUUCUCGAAACCAUGUUUUCCAAAAAAAUUCCGCGUCCACAGCUUCAUCCUGUGAACCGAUUUGCUUCAUGUAAAAUUUUUAUGAAAGUAUAUGCUUUUUUAUUGGGCACUAAGCUACUCCGGAAAUAAACAAUAAUUUAUUUAUAAUUUUUCAACGUGGUUUAACUGAAAAAAAAUGUACGAAAAUCGAACUUUAAAAUUCGAACAUUCAUUACGCGGUCAAUUUAUGGCCGCAAUUUGAUGCCAUUAGUUGACUACAAGAGGCUGCAGGCUCGGAAUUUUUGGACGAUGUUUGCCGCGCGGAGGCAGACGAAAGCCGCCAUUUUGCAGCCGCCAUUUUGAAUUUCACCAUCAAAUAAAUUUUAAAAAAAUCUUGAAUAAUAAACGAAUUCAAAAAGCAAAACCCGAAGUUCGUACGCCUUUUCAUUAUCCCACAAAAAAUUGACGAACUUUGCCUUCAUUUCGACCAAAACAAAGAGAACGUUCCCUUAAUUAUACGC